GGACGAACGCUGGCGGCGUGCUUAACACAUGCAAGUCGAACGAUGAUCCGGUUUCGGCCGGGGAUUAGUGGCGAACGGGUGAGUAACACGUGGGCAAUCUGCCCUGCACUCUGGGACAAGCCCUGGAAACGGGGUCUAAUACCGGAUAUGACUGCCAGCCGCAUGGUUGGUGGUGGAAAGCUCCGGCGGUGCAGGAUGAGCCCGCGGCCUAUCAGCUUGUUGGUGGGGUGAUGGCCUACCAAGGCGACGACGGGUAGCCGGCCUGAGAGGGCGACCGGCCACACUGGGACUGAGACACGGCCCAGACUCCUACGGGAGGCAGCAGUGGGGAAUAUUGCACAAUGGGCGGAAGCCUGAUGCAGCGACGCCGCGUGAGGGAUGACGGCCUUCGGGUUGUAAACCUCUUUCAGCAGGGAAGAAGCGUGAGUGACGGUACCUGCAGAAGAAGCGCCGGCUAACUAC
This 462-nucleotide ribosomal RNA is filed under the name Streptomycetaceae bacterium 'ARUP UnID 646'. Its description in RNAcentral is "bacterial SSU rRNA". It matches the Rfam family "Bacterial small subunit ribosomal RNA", at positions 27 to 504 of the family's 1533-position model. Lineage: Bacteria; Bacillati; Actinomycetota; Actinomycetes; Kitasatosporales; Streptomycetaceae. The record is from RNAcentral.